UGGAGCUUGGCUGGAACUG
Molecule: unclassified non-coding RNA, 19 nt
Filed under: Mus musculus (house mouse)
Lineage: Eukaryota; Metazoa; Chordata; Mammalia; Rodentia; Muridae
Description: oocyte_clustered_small_RNA7148
Source: RNAcentral